RNAcentral lists this small RNA (904 nucleotides) under Drosophila virilis. Its description in RNAcentral is "GJ26378". Lineage: Eukaryota; Metazoa; Arthropoda; Insecta; Diptera; Drosophilidae. The record is from RNAcentral.
UCGAACUAGUCUUUCAGACUCUGCAAAUCGUUGGCAUUGUGGCAAAUGUACCUGGAAGGUGCGGACAUUUGUCAAAGGCAGAGUCGACAUCGAACCAACCUCCGGCAACCUGCGGCGUGGCAAGAGAAUCUUCGGACUCGAACUCGGACCCAAAUUCUGCUAGGUAUGUACAUACAUAUAUGUAUGUACGUGUGUAUGCAGGGCAACACAGCGGGAACUGAAACGAACCUCGAAAAUGCGCUUGCUGUGCGCUCCUCUACGAUCUCAUUAUGUGUUUUCCCUUUUGUAAUUUAACGUCUUAUUCAAGUCAUUCCAAGAUCUUUUUACUCUAUGAAAAACACCAGACCCAGCUCCGUGCUGCCUGCCUGUUGCCUGCCUGUUGCCUGCCUGCCUGCCUGUGAUUAUGAAUACAAAGCAUUCACAUUCACACUCACACUUGUGCGCAUUCGUCUUAUUUAACGAGGGAACUUCGUCGUUUCUCGGAAACAACAUAAAACCAGAUAUGUGUAUACGUAAGUUUUUUGGUUUUGCAUCUGCAUUUGAGUCCCCGCACAGCAUCAUCCGGCGACAGUCCAAGACGAUGUAACAUGCAGGAACACGUCGCGAUCUAGAGAGCUUCGACAACUCCUUUGACGGCUCCUGCGCUUAAAUACAUACAUACAUAUGUACAUCAAAAAUAAUUUAGCAGCCUUUCCUUGAAAAUAUACUGACAAUCGAAGGAGUCCGAAUGACUUUAUUUUCAAUACGACUUCUCGAGCAUGGGUCUGGGCCGAUGUUAAGGGCUUAAUUAGUCAGCAAAUCGAAGCCCCAAACGAAGUAGUCAACGGAGUCUGAUGCGUCGUACUCUCGCUCUCAAAUCCAGUUUUAGUUGUUUUUUUUAUUACAUACCUAAAUACUUCAUUUC